GAUGAAGAACGUAGUGAAAUGCGAUAAUUAAUGUGAAUUGCAGAAUUCAGUGAAUCAUCGAGUCUUUGAACGCACAUUGCGCCCCCUGGCAUUCCGGGGGGCAUGCCUGUCCGAGCGUCAUUGCUGCCCUUCAAGCCCGGCUUGUGUGUUGGGUCGUCGUCCCCCCCGGGGGACGGGCCCGAAAGGCAGCGGCGGCACCGCGUCCGGUCCUCGAGCGUAUGGGGCUUUGUCACCCGCUCGAUUAGGGCCGGCCGGGCGCCAGCCGGCGUCUCCAACCUUCUAUUUUACCAGGUUGACCUCGGAUCAGGUAGGGAUACCCGCUGAACUUAAGCAUAUCAAUAAGCGGAGGA
This 350-nucleotide unclassified non-coding RNA is filed under the name soil metagenome. RNAcentral's name for it is "partial contains 5.8S ribosomal RNA, internal transcribed spacer 2, and large subunit ribosomal RNA". The stretch from base 1 to 120 matches the Rfam family "5.8S ribosomal RNA", at positions 35 to 154 of the family's 154-position model. The record is from RNAcentral.